Molecule: long non-coding RNA, 1165 nt
Filed under: Cottoperca gobio
Lineage: Eukaryota; Metazoa; Chordata; Actinopteri; Perciformes; Bovichtidae
Description: lncRNA (ENSCGOG00000007037.1)
Source: RNAcentral
AGAGACCUGGUAUAUAUCCUCUGAGAGAACUAAUGAGGGAAUGAGAAGCAGGUGAGGAGAUGGGCUGUGGAAACCAGGUGAGGGGAAAAAGUUGAUUGCAGGCAGUGAGGAUGAACCAGGAUCUGAAAUGAUAAGAGAAUUACUGACAAGGUGAAACCAAAUAAAAACAAACUAAUAGUGGGUGGAACGCGUGACAUUUGGUUAAGAUUCACUGCGUGAAAAAUGUUAGGGAGAGGAGGGUGCUCCUGAAUAUGGCGUCAAUGUUAGGUCUGCUCCAUGCCCAGCGAUAGGGUGUGGAUUCAACCAGACACGACUUGACCACCACAUCCGUAUAAUGCAAUACGGAAAUGUCCCAUGAUGAGAGGGCUGAAGUAAUAAUGCAGGCAAAGCGGAUUGAAUCGAUGAGGCUCCUGUCCGAGCUGAGGGAGACCAACCCAACUCCACCUGUAGUAACAUUGCUCGAACUGCUGACAGAUGACCGAGAGGAUAUUUUGCUAGAACCCCCUUCUCCUCUCUGUGACUGUGGUGACCCCCAGUGUAUGGAGACAGAGAGGGGCUAUGUACGGGAGAUAUCCAGUCUUUGUCAGCAGAGGGAAGAUAUGGUUUCUCAAAUAGGAUCCCUCUGGCGGAAAUUGCAGAUCUUGAAGCGUAAAUGGAGCAUCCGUAUUUCAUCCCUCCAUGUGGAGGAAGAGGACAGGCCAAGCACGUCCAAGGAUGCACGGGAUAACAGCACCAGUGAGGAGGAAGAGGAGGCAGCCCUCUGGAGAAAAAUAAAAUGAGGAGGAGGAAGAGGAGAAGGAGGAGGAAGAGGAGAAGGAGGAGGAGGAGGAUAAGAAGGAGGAGAAAGAGGAAGUGGAUGUGGAGGAGGAGGAAGAAGAGACUGGUCCUAUUAGCAGUGUUGCCACUACAAUCAAAUCAAAGAAAUGCAGGGUGCUGAUAAGCCCUAUCAAAAAUCUGAAGAGACAAAGCAAAAGGGCCAAAAUCAGGUUGAGAAUGAGAAGAUAAAGCUGUUCAUUGGUGGUAGUGUUAAAUUGUUCCAUAUAGUCUUUUAAAUAUUUAAUAAUAUUGAUUGUUUGUUCUUAUUAUGACUGUUCUUAUUGUUCUUAUUAUGACUAUAUUAUGUUAUUAGAAUUAUUGUGUUUGCCUUUUAAAAUAAAUGUUUGAA